RNA transcript from Brassica napus (rape), 1091 nucleotides. RefSeq lists it as uncharacterized. The transcript is spliced from 2 exons. NCBI's taxonomy places the organism in Eukaryota, Viridiplantae, Streptophyta, Magnoliopsida, Brassicales, Brassicaceae. The record is from RefSeq and is a predicted model, not a curated record.
ACCCAAGAGCACAUUGUGCUACGAAGGCACUUUUUAGUGGUUAUAGACCUAUUUCUCCUUGAAAAAGUGAAACUAGAGAUGGGUAUCUAAGUAAUUUGACUUCUUGGCUGGUUACUUUGUUUCGGCAUUCGAAUUUUGAAAAAAUAAGUGAUUUGGUUGUGGGCCCAAGACGAAAUUAAUUUUUGCUUCAUAAUAAACAUUGGGUCCGUAAAAGGCAAAAAAAAAAAUUUUUGGUUUACUUUCACCCACAAACAAAAAUUACGGUUACGAUUGUUCGAUAAACUUAGAAGGUGUUUUCUGACGUCGGAGAAAUUGGAGACAGAGAAAAGGUUUAAUGACGAGGAGGAGGAGGGUAGCAGAAAGAGAAAACGGAAGAGGAGAACCGAGGAAGUGGUUUGUCUUUUGAUGAUGGAAAAAUUAAUGGAGUGAGACUAAUUGCAGAGGCACCGGAGCUGGAGAUGACGGACGACCGGUUGAUUGAUUGAGAAGCAGUUCGCGACGGACCGGUACCCAAGCAAGCGCAUGUAUGUGUAUUCAACUUUUGAUAACUUGAUUUGGUCCGUGUUGUGUUUUCAAUAGGAUUUGUCCUAUGUCUGGUUUUAAUUAUCUUGCGGCUCAGCUAUUACCAGGAAACAGGUGACCUCGUGAACUUCUGACUUCUAUAUAUGUCCUCUUAGUGAGUUUGUUUGCAUUUUGUUAUUGGGCAUUCUUGUUAAUAGUCGUGAAAGCUGCUAGAAAUGUGCCAGUUCACAAACAAUAAAGUUAGGUAUCUGCAUCAGAAAGUUUAUACAUUGAGCUUUCGAAUUUGUAAAACUUCUCUGGUUUUAACGGUUUCUAGAUUCUGUAGAAGAUCUUCUUUAACUGGUUACUGGUUACGCAUGUAUCCAAGAGGAAGUCCAGCAACAUUUUCAUUCUUAUGGGACAGUUAAUAGGUGUACACAUGGAUAGUUUGUAGGUGUACACAUGGACAGUUUGUAGUGUAUACAUGGACAGUUUGUAGUGUACACAUGGACAGUUUGUAUGAUUAUUUUGUUGUAAUGUAAUGUAAUGUGCAUAGAAUUUGCUAUGGAAUUUAUGGGAUUUGAAACUAU